Molecule: ribosomal RNA, 666 nt
Filed under: Salmonella enterica
Lineage: Bacteria; Pseudomonadati; Pseudomonadota; Gammaproteobacteria; Enterobacterales; Enterobacteriaceae
Description: partial 23S ribosomal RNA
Rfam family: Bacterial large subunit ribosomal RNA
Source: RNAcentral
AGACCCGAAACCCGGUGAUCUAGCCAUGGGCAGGUUGAAGGUUGGGUAACACUAACUGGAGGACCGAACCGACUAAUGUUGAAAAAUUAGCGGAUGACCUGUGGCUGGGGGUGAAAGGCCAAUCAAACCGGGAGAUAGCUGGUUCUCCCCGAAAGCUAUUUAGGUAGCGCCUCGUGAAUUCAUCUCCGGGGGUAGAGCACUGUUUCGGCUAGGGGGCCAUCCCGGCUUACCAACCCGAUGCAAACUGCGAAUACCGGAGAAUGUUAUCACGGGAGACACACGGCGGGUGCUAACGUCCGUCGUGAAGAGGGAAACAACCCAGACCGCCAGCUAAGGUCCCAAAGUCAUGGUUAAGUGGGAAACGAUGUGGGAAGGCCCAGACAGCCAGGAUGUUGGCUUAGAAGCAGCCAUCAUUUAAAGAAAGCGUAAUAGCUCACUGGUCGAGUCGGCCUGCGCGGAAGAUGUAACGGGGCUAAACCAUGCACCGAAGCUGCGGCAGCGACACUCAGGUGUUGUUGGGUAGGGGAGCGUUCUGUAAGCCUGUGAAGGUGGCCUGUGAGGGUUGCUGGAGGUAUCAGAAGUGCGAAUGCUGACAUAAGUAACGAUAAAGCGGGUGAAAAGCCCGCUCGCCGGAAGACCAAGGGUUCCUGUCCAACGUUAAUCGGG